Molecule: ribosomal RNA, 209 nt
Filed under: Enterobacter hormaechei
Lineage: Bacteria; Pseudomonadati; Pseudomonadota; Gammaproteobacteria; Enterobacterales; Enterobacteriaceae
Description: partial 23S ribosomal RNA
Rfam family: Bacterial large subunit ribosomal RNA
Source: RNAcentral
GCGGCGAGCGAACGGGGAGCAGCCCGGAGUCUGAAUCAGCUUGUGUGUUAGUGGAACGGUCUGGAAAGUCCGACGGUACAGGGUGAUAGUCCCGUACACGAAAAUGCACAUGCUGUGAACUCGAAGAGUAGGGCGGGACACGUGGUAUCCUGUCUGAAUAUGGGGGGACCAUCCUCCAAGGCUAAAUACUCCUGACUGACCGAUAGUGA